UGGGGAAUAUUGCACAAUGGGCGCAAGCCUGAUGCAGCCAUGCCGCGUGUAUGAAGAAGGCCUUCGGGUUGUAAAGUACUUUCAGCGGGGAGGAAGGGAGUAAAGUUAAUACCUUUGCUCAUUGACGUUACCCGCAGAAGAAGCACCGGCUAACUCCGUGCCAGCAGCCGCGGUAAUACGGAGGGUGCAAGCGUUAAUCUGAAUUACUGGGCGUAAAGCGCACGCAGGCGGUUUGUUAAGUAAGAUGUGAAAUCCCCGGGCUCAACCUGGGAACUGCAUCUGAUACUGGCAAGCUUGAGUCUAGUAGAGGGGGGUAGAAUUCCAGGUGUAGCGGUGAAAUGCGUAGAGAUCUGGAGGAAUACCGGUGGCGAAGGCGGCCCCCUGGACGAAGACUGACGCUCAGGUGCGAAAGCGUGGGGAGCAAACAGG
This 429-nucleotide ribosomal RNA is filed under the name Chloroflexota bacterium. RNAcentral describes it as "Chloroflexi bacterium partial 16S ribosomal RNA". It matches the Rfam family "Bacterial small subunit ribosomal RNA", at positions 355 to 776 of the family's 1533-position model. The record is from RNAcentral. Lineage: Bacteria; Bacillati; Chloroflexota.